AGCUGGUGCGAGUGCAGUGGUGCUUACAACUAAUUGAUCACAACCAGUUACAGAUUCCUUCGUUCUUUCUCCGCUCGCUGCUUCACUUGUCCAGCCUUAA
RNAcentral lists this Y RNA (100 nucleotides) under Prolemur simus (greater bamboo lemur). Its description in RNAcentral is "Y RNA (ENSPSMG00000020191.1)". It matches the Rfam family "Y RNA". From Rfam's summary of the family: Y RNAs are components of the Ro ribonucleoprotein particle (Ro RNP), in association with Ro60 and La proteins. The Y RNAs and Ro60 and La proteins are well conserved, but the function of the Ro RNP is not known. Lineage: Eukaryota; Metazoa; Chordata; Mammalia; Primates; Lemuridae. The record is from Rfam by way of RNAcentral.